Long non-coding RNA from Bos taurus (domestic cattle), 1330 nucleotides. The record is from Ensembl. Lineage: Eukaryota; Metazoa; Chordata; Mammalia; Artiodactyla; Bovidae.
CGUUACUUCAGUCGUGUCUGACUCUUUACAACCCUACGGACCAUAGCCCGCCAGGCUCUUCUGUCCAUCGGAUUCUCCAGGCAAGAAUGCUGGAGUGAGUUACUAUGUCCUCCUCCAGGGAAUCUUCCUGAUCCAAGAAUGAAACCUGCGUCUUAUCUGUCUCCUGCAUUGGCAGGAAUAAAGAUAACAUAAGGGGAGUCUCUCAAGAGGAUUGGAGACUUCAGUACUGGCCAACCACUUGGAUGCUAUAAUAAAAUACCACAGACUGGGUGGCUUAUAAACAGCAGAAAUUUAUCACAGGUCUGGAGGCUAGAGGUCCAAGAUCAGCGUGACAACUCCCUCUGACUGCAGAACUCGCUGUAUCCCGCUGUAGCACAAGGGGCUGGGGAGCUCGUUAAUACUACAGUACGUGAUGGCAUCACUGACUCGAUGGACGUGAGUCUGAGUGAACUCCGGGAGUUGGUGAUGGACAGGGAGGCCUGGCGUGCUGUGAUUCAUGGGGUUGAAAGGAGUCGGACACGACUGAGCAACUGAACUGAACUGAACACUAUCUAAGGCUGAAUGAGGGGAUAUGGGACCUCGGAUUCAGAGGAAUAACAAGCAUAUUUGGAGGGUCAAGUGUAAAAUAUACACAGAUUUUGGACUUAACCUCCAAGUUGUUCAAGGGUCAAUUGUAUAUGUAUACAUAUAAUCACUCAAUUAUUUAUUGAUUCAAUCAGUGAGUAUCUAUUAAGUAUUUACUAAGUACCAUAUGCAGUUUUUAUGCUAAGUAUAAAAUAAAACAAUGUAUACAUGUUAAAGUUUAUCAUUAUAUAUGCGUAUCUAUAUGUUUAUAACUCCAUAGAAAAUUUAUUUUAAAGUGCCGUACAACAAAAAUAUAAUGUAAGUCACAUAUGUAAUUUAAAAUUUCCUAGUAGCUGUAGUAAAAUGGCUUUAUUAAAGGUGAAAUUAAUUUUACUUAUAUAUUUUAUUUUACAUAGUGUAUCCAAGAUAUUGUCAUUCUAACAUGUAAAUGUAAAACAAUUAUUCAUGAUAUAUUUCACACUUUUUUAGUCUUCAAAAUCCAUCACAGAUUUUAUACUUAGCACAUCUCAGAACAGGCCAGAGCUUAAGUUCACAACAAUCACACGUAGUUAGUGGCAUCUGUUGGAUAUUUCAGGUCUAGAAUAACAUAUAAAAACUGAUUGGGAGAUGGAAGAGGGAGAGGAAUUUACCUUUUAUUAUAUAUCCUUUCAUACUUUAGAUUCUUGUAUGCUGUGUACUUGUCGCCUAAUCAAAGAAAUUUGAAAAAAUAAAUUAAUAUAUUAAAAGCAUCAUGUUUUUAUCUGUG